AGUGAACGCUGGCGGUAGGCCUAACACAUGCAAGUCGAACGGCAGCACAGUAAGAGCUUGCUCUUACGGGUGGCGAGUGGCGGACGGGUGAGGAAUACAUCGGAAUCUACUUUUUCGUGGGGGAUAACGCAGGGAAACUUACGCUAAUACCGCAUACGACCUACGGGUGAAAGCAGGGGAUCUUCGGACCUUGCGCGAUUGAAUGAGCCGAUGUCGGAUUAGCUAGUUGGCGGGGUAAAGGCCCACCAAGGCGACGAUCCGUAGCGGGUCUGAGAGGAUGAUCAGCCACACUGGAACUGAGACACGGUCCAGACUCCUACGGGAGGCAGCAGUGGGGAAUAUUGGACAAUGGGCGCAAGCCUGAUCCAGCCAUACCGCGUGGGUGAAGAAGGCCUUCGGGUUGUAAAGCCCUUUUGUUGGGAAAGAAAAGCAGCAGGUUAAUACCCCGCUGUUCUGACGGUACCCAAAGAAUAAGCACCGGCUAACUUCGUG
RNAcentral lists this ribosomal RNA (492 nucleotides) under uncultured bacterium. RNAcentral's name for it is "partial 16S ribosomal RNA". It matches the Rfam family "Bacterial small subunit ribosomal RNA", at positions 29 to 507 of the family's 1533-position model. The record is from RNAcentral.